UCCAAAAGCAGGAAUUUAAAAAGGAAUUUGAACAUGUCACUUAAAGAAGCAUGUCAAGGACAUCAUGUCUACAUCUACACUCAUUGUUAAUGCAGAGCACAGAGGUGGUAAGCAUUCAAGGAGGUAUGAGUGUUAUUCUAGGUUUCAAAACUAACCCAAAAUGUAUCUCUCUCAACAAAUCCAUUUGUUUUUCCCUUUGCAGCAUGACAACAGCAGUGAUCAAAGGUUUUCAUUAAGGAAGUGAUGACAAAGGAGCACAGGCACAGACAACCUUAACGGGCAAGUUCGUAAAAGCUAUGAUGACAUGAUGUUUAAACCUACAGUAUACAUGAAUAAUACACAUCCAACUUAAUGACGCAGACAUCUGAAGGUGAAGCAGUGGACGCAAGACUGAUGUGAUCAGCAGUGACUGAUUUUAUCUACAGGGCUGCAGUGCAUAGGUCCACGGGUCCAGGCCUCUCUACCCUGACACCUAUAAACCCAUCCAAACACAGGCUGUUCUGAUUGAUUCGUGUAUGGACCAGACGUGUGACCAAUAAAUAAUUAAAACCCUUAAACCGUGCGGCUUAGGGAAUUGGCUGCCUGAUGACCAGCUUUCUGACUUAUUGACGGUCUAGCAGCUGUCACGUCAAGAGCGCAGGUGAUCGACAGCCAAACACAAGUCAUCAGAGGCUUAGUAAGUAGGCGGGGCUGAUAUUAUUAUUCAGCCAAUCAGCGUGCGUGAAAUUUAAUCUAGUACAACCAUUGUUGCCCUGAACAGAUUGUUUGUGACACUUAAGGUAUUUUUUUUUUUUUUUUUUUUUUGUCUCUUUGGAAGGAUAGUUAUCCUGUAUUAAAUCAGAAAAAAAUGUCAAAAUACUUAUAUUGCAACAAAUUAUGUGUGGUAAUGUUACGUUAUGAUAAAAUAACAAAAACACAAUGUUUUCUCAGGUUGAUGUAAAGUAGCCUAUUGUGCUGUCAUAUCUAAGGAGGGUUGAAAUAAAACACCAAACAGAAAAGUAUUUGGUUGGUUAUGGUUAAUAACAAUAAAAAGUGUAUCUAAAUGAAUGAAAAUGUAUUAAGUAGUGCACUGCCAUAGUGCCAUUAAAUGAACAUGGUCUGCUGUCUG
Molecule: long non-coding RNA, 1108 nt
Organism: Cyprinus carpio (common carp)
Lineage: Eukaryota; Metazoa; Chordata; Actinopteri; Cypriniformes; Cyprinidae
Exons: 3
Source: RefSeq, a predicted model, not a curated record